Molecule: long non-coding RNA, 405 nt
Filed under: Mytilus galloprovincialis (Mediterranean mussel)
Lineage: Eukaryota; Metazoa; Mollusca; Bivalvia; Mytilida; Mytilidae
Source: RNAcentral
GUUCGUAAUUAAGUAGACUCUCCAAAUUGUCGUUAUGGUGAUGUAGAAACAAAUACUCACUUCCUGUUCUCUUGUCCUAUAUACAAUAAUUUAAGACAUGAACUAUUAGAUUCUAUUUUAGUUCUCCCUGUCCAAGUAUAUACAAAAACUUUGCCUUUUGGAUUAACGGUACACUCAGAUUAGCAAAAUAGUAUUUUAUCUAGUUUGGUGCAGAAAUAUAUAAUUAAAGGUAAACGUUUUAAUCCUUGAUGUUAAUGCUUCGUCACGCAAUUGGAACCCAAGCAUUUCACACUGUAAACAUUAACAAUAAUUCAUGUUUAUUUAUUAUUUUUUUUUUUAUUUUUCUCAUUAAUUUUUUUGUCUUCUUCUUUCAUCUUUUUUAUAUUCAUAUAUUUAUUACAAAGC